AAACUUUGUUUCUCGUAUUUUGCUUCCAAAAUUACAGAAGUUAUCUGCAAUGCCAGAGGGAUGUGCCUUUGGGAAUGCGAACGACAGAAAUGGUGCGUAUGGCCGUCAUCAGCUCGUGCCACAAGGUGUUGCUUUAAAUCCCAAAAUGAGUGCAACCCUUGUGUCUCCAUUAAGUUUGGAAUCCUAAACGGGCUUCCAAGGACAUGUUAGAGGAAGGUGAGGAUGAGGUCAAGGGUUCAUGCCCCUUACCUCCUGGGCAGCAAACGUGCUUCAAAGGCCGAGACAAGAGGUCAUGAGUAUGAGUCAAUUCCAAAAAUUCAUCCUCAGUUCGGAUUGCAUGGUGAAUCUCAAUUAAUGAAAUCCGA
Molecule: non-coding RNA, 365 nt
Filed under: Eucalyptus grandis
Lineage: Eukaryota; Viridiplantae; Streptophyta; Magnoliopsida; Myrtales; Myrtaceae
Description: Bacterial small subunit ribosomal RNA
Rfam family: Bacterial small subunit ribosomal RNA
Source: Rfam by way of RNAcentral